AGAGUUUGAUCCUGGCUCAGGAUGAACGCUGGCGGUAUGCUUAAUACAUGCAAGUCGUACGAGAGUUUAUAACUCUAGUGGCGGACGGGUGAGUAACACGUGAGAAUCUGCCCUUAGAAGGAGGAUAACAGCUGGAAACGGUUGCUAAUACUCCAUAUGCCGAGAGGUGAAAGGAAGUAUCUGCCUAAGGAGGAGCUCGCGUCUGAUUAGCUAGUUGGUAGGGUAAUGGCCUACCAAGGCGACGAUCAGUAGCUGGUUUGAGAGGAUGAUCAGCCACACUGGGACUGAGACACGGCCCAGACUCCUACGGGAGGCAGCAGUAGGGAAUUUUCCGCAAUGGGCGAAAGCCUGACGGAGCAAUACCGCGUGAGGGAUGACGGCCUGUGGGUUGUAAACCUCUUUUCUCAAGGAAGAAGUUCUGACGGUACUUGAGGAAUAAGCAUCGGCUAACUCUGUGCCAGCAGCCGCGGUAAUACAGAGGAUGCAAGCGUUAUCCGGAAUCACUGGGCAUAAAGCGUCUGUAGGCUGUUUAAUAAGUCUGCUGUUAAAGACUGGGGCUCAACCCCAGAAAAGCAGUGGAAACUGUUAGACUUGAGUGUGGUAGAGGUAGAGGGAAUUCCUAGUGUAGCGGUGAAAUGCGUAGAUAUUAGGAAGAACACCAAUGGCGAAGGCACUCUACUGGGCCAUAACUGGCACUGAGAGACGACAGCUAGGGGAGCAAAUGGGAUUAGAUACCCCAGUAGUCCUAGCCGUAAACGAUGGAUACUAGAUGUUGCACGUAUUAACCCGUGCAGUAUCGUAGCUAAGGCGUUAAGUAUCCCGCCUGGGAAGUACGCUCGCAAGAGUGAAACUCAAAGGAAUUGACGG
Molecule: ribosomal RNA, 867 nt
Filed under: uncultured marine bacterium
Lineage: Bacteria
Description: bacterial SSU rRNA
Rfam family: Bacterial small subunit ribosomal RNA
Source: RNAcentral